AAGUCGUAACAAGGUUUCCGUAGGUGAACCUGCGGAAGGAUCAUUAAUGAAGUCUGGGUCUAAAAAGCCCUCUCUCUUCUACACACUUGUGAACUUACACUGUUGCUUUGGCGGGUCUCCGGACGGGUUUCAAACCCGGACGGUCAGGUCGAGAGACGCCCGCCAGAGACAUUUAUCCACCCUUUUUUAUCGUCUGAUUUUUGUUUUAAACAAAUAUAAAAAAACUUUCAACAAUGGAUCUCUUGGCUCUG
This 251-nucleotide unclassified non-coding RNA is filed under the name Taphrina communis. RNAcentral describes it as "partial contains small subunit ribosomal RNA, internal transcribed spacer 1, and 5.8S ribosomal RNA". The stretch from base 1 to 46 matches the Rfam family "Eukaryotic small subunit ribosomal RNA", at positions 1786 to 1831 of the family's 1831-position model. The record is from RNAcentral. Lineage: Eukaryota; Fungi; Ascomycota; Taphrinomycetes; Taphrinales; Taphrinaceae. RNAcentral also lists the same sequence under 1 other name.